Molecule: small RNA, 101 nt
Filed under: Salvator merianae (Argentine black and white tegu)
Lineage: Eukaryota; Metazoa; Chordata; Lepidosauria; Squamata; Teiidae
Description: 7SK RNA (ENSSMRG00000010921.1)
Rfam family: 7SK RNA
About the family: 7SK was discovered as an abundant small nuclear RNA in the mid-70s but a possible function has only recently been suggested. Two independent studies have found that 7SK RNA binds the CDK9/cyclin T complex (known as elongation factor P-TEFb).
Source: Rfam by way of RNAcentral
GUGAGGGUGGUCUGGCUGUGACAUCCAUCACCCCAUGGACCAUCAAGGCUGACACAGUUGAUCUGGUUGGCUAGGCAGGCACGACCUUCUUCCCUCCCUGC